This 71-nucleotide transfer RNA is filed under the name Poecilimon elegans. RNAcentral's name for it is "transfer RNA-Val". It matches the Rfam family "tRNA". Rfam says of the family: Transfer RNA (tRNA) molecules are approximately 80 nucleotides in length. Lineage: Eukaryota; Metazoa; Arthropoda; Insecta; Orthoptera; Tettigoniidae. The record is from RNAcentral.
GAUAAAGCUUAGGAGUUAGGCACUUCAUUUACACUGAAGAGAUUUUCGUGCAAUUCGAAUUAUUUUGAAGG